Molecule: non-coding RNA, 61 nt
Filed under: unclassified sequences
Description: GP20-b RNA
Rfam family: GP20-b RNA
Source: RNAcentral
UGUCAGCCCGGUUAGACGUAAAACGGCCGGCUCAUGUGGUGAGACCACGUAAAAAAUCGUA